GGAGAGGUGCCGGAGUGGUCGAACGGGGCGGUCUCGAAAACCGUUGUCCCCUCACAGGGACCCAGGGUUCGAAUCCCUGUCUCUCCGCCA
This 90-nucleotide transfer RNA is filed under the name Aestuariivita sp. RNAcentral describes it as "tRNA-Ser". It matches the Rfam family "tRNA". From Rfam's summary of the family: Transfer RNA (tRNA) molecules are approximately 80 nucleotides in length. Their secondary structure includes four short double-helical elements and three loops (D, anti-codon, and T loops). Further hydrogen bonds mediate the characteristic L-shaped molecular structure. tRNAs have two regions of fundamental functional importance: the anti-codon, which is responsible for specific mRNA codon recognition, and the 3' end, to which the tRNAs corresponding amino acid is attached (by aminoacyl-tRNA synthetases). tRNAs cope with the degeneracy of the genetic code in two manners: having more than one tRNA (with a specific anti-codon) for a particular amino acid; and 'wobble' base-pairing, i.e. permitting non-standard base-pairing at the 3rd anti-codon position. Lineage: Bacteria; Pseudomonadati; Pseudomonadota; Alphaproteobacteria; Rhodobacterales; Paracoccaceae. The record is from RNAcentral.